AUUGAACGCUGGCGGCAGGCCUAACACAUGCAAGUCGAACGAGUGGCGGACGGGUGAGUAAUGUCUGGGAAACUGCCUGAUGGAGGGGGAUAACUACUGGAAACGGUAGCUAAUACCGCAUACCAUCGGAUGUGCCCCGAGGGGAUUAGCUAGUAGGUUGGGUAAAGGCUCACCUAGGCGACGCUCCCUAGCUGGUCUGAGAGGAUGACCAGACACACUGGAACUGAGACACGGUCCAGACUCCUACGUGAGGCAUCAGUGGGGAAUAGUGCACAAUGGGCGCAAGCCUGAUGCAGCCAGGCCGCGUGUAUGAAGAAGGCCUUCGGGUUGUAAAGUACUUUCAGCGGGGAGGCGUUACCCGCAGAAGAAGCACCGGCUAACUCCGUGCCAGCAGCCGCGGUAAUAC
RNAcentral lists this ribosomal RNA (406 nucleotides) under uncultured bacterium. Its description in RNAcentral is "partial 16S ribosomal RNA". It matches the Rfam family "Bacterial small subunit ribosomal RNA", at positions 30 to 526 of the family's 1533-position model. The record is from RNAcentral.